RNAcentral lists this long non-coding RNA (1484 nucleotides) under Daucus carota (carrot). RNAcentral's name for it is "long non-coding RNA (DCAR_LNC001650)". The record is from RNAcentral. Lineage: Eukaryota; Viridiplantae; Streptophyta; Magnoliopsida; Apiales; Apiaceae.
AAUGUGUUCUUUUUUAAAUGCUUUGUAUAAUAUGUAAGUACUAAAAUAUGUCCAAAUUGAAGGUACUUACUAUUUAGUAGACGCGGGUUAUACUAAUGGAGAAGGAUUCUUGGCACCUUAUAGAGGACAAAAGUACCACUUGAAUGAUUGGAACGAUGAACAUCAACCUACUUGUGCUAAAGAGUAUUUCAACAUGAAACACUCGACGGNAACUGAUAUGCAAUUGUGUUCAUAGCUUAUCUUAUCUUCUGUGUAUAGAUUUGUAUAUAUCUGCAGUUGUGUGUAUUUUGUAUAUAUUUAUGUACCUGUAUGUUUGAUAAAUAUCCUCAAAGGAUCAAAUCUGAUCAUAUGCAGUAUGGCACGUCUUCCACUAACUAGAAGAAAGACUAUUCAAAGGAAGAGACUUAUUUUAUAUUUGGAGCAGCUAAAAAUGAUUGGGUCGGUUCAUUGGUUUUUUCAAAUGAUUGUGUUGUUAGGAUUAAGGGUGGCAUUAAGGCCUAGGUAUUCCAUUUUUAAGAUGGAAAGAAUUAAUUAUGUUGAUAGGUUAGUUAAUCAAAGUGAUGACAUUUGUGUUAAGAAUCUUAGAAUGAACAUGGGAGCAUUUCAUAAAUUAUGCUAUACACUUGAAUCACGAGGAUACAUACGUGAUAGUAAGCAUAUGAAUGUUGUUGAACAAGUUGCCGUUUUUCUAUAUAUAUUAGCGCACCAUAAGAAAAUGAGUGUUAUAAGCACCUCUUUUCAAAGGUCGACUGAAUCGAUUAGUCGACACUUUCAUAUGGUUCUUCUCGGGGUCUUGAGGUUACAAGAAUUUAAGCAUCCUGAACCGAUUCCAAAUGACUCAACCGACGGAAAUUGGAAGUACUUUAAGGUACAAUCAAACAAUUCGAAAAAAUUUAUGCUAGAAUAUAUCUAAUAGUUAAAAAUUAUCUCAUUAUAUGUUUAUUGUUUAUUAGAAUUGCCUAGGGGCUCUAGAUGGGACACAUAUAAGAAUGAAUGUAGCUGCUGAAGACAAGGCUAGGUAUCGAAACAGGAAGGGUGAAAUUACUACUAAUGUCCUUGCCGCGGUUACACCAGAUUUACAGUUCUCUUAUGUAUUGACUGGUUGGGAAGGGUCCGCGGCUGAUGGGAGAGUUUUAAAAGAUGCUUUGUCAAGAAAAAAUGGACUCAAAGUCCCAAAGGGUAAAAAGAAUCAUCUAAUUGUUUUUUAAUGUGUUCUUUUUUAAAUGCUUUGUAUAAUAUGUAAGUACUAAAAUAUGUCCAAAUUGAAGGUACUUACUAUUUAGUAGACGCGGGUUAUACUAAUGGAGAAGGAUUCUUGGCACCUUAUAGAGGACAAAAGUACCACUUGAAUGAUUGGAACGAUGAACAUCAACCUACUUGUGCUAAAGAGUAUUUCAACAUGAGACACUCGACGGCUAGAAAUGUAGUUGAGCGUUCUUUUGGCGUCUUAAAGAAGAGAUGGGCAAUCUUGAGAAGUCCUUCAU